AAAUUGAAGAGUUUGAUCAUGGCUCAGAUUGAACGCUGGCGGCAGGCCUAACACAUGCAAGUCGAGCGGAAACGAGUUAUCAGAACCUUCGGGGGACGAUAACGGCGUCGAGCGGCGGACGGGUGAGUAAUGCCUAGGAAAUUGCCCUGAUGUGGGGGAUAACCAUUGGAAACGAUGGCUAAUACCGCAUGAUGCCUACGGGCCAAAGAGGGGGACCUUCGGGCCUCUCGCGUCAGGAUAUGCCUAGGUGGGAUUAGCUAGUUGGUGAGGUAAGGGCUCACCAAGGCGACGAUCCCUAGCUGGUCUGAGAGGAUGAUCAGCCACACUGGAACUGAGACACGGUCCAGACUCCUACGGGAGGCAGCAGUGGGGAAUAUUGCACAAUGGGCGCAAGCCUGAUGCAGCCAUGCCGCGUGUGUGAAGAAGGCCUUCGGGUUGUAAAGCACUUUCAGUCGUGAGGAAGGUAGUGUAGUUAAUAGCUGCAUUAUUUGACGUUAGCGACAGAAGAAGCACCGGCUAACUCCGUGCCAGCAGCCGCGGUAAUACGGAGGGUGCGAGCGUUAAUCGGAAUUACUGGGCGUAAAGCGCAUGCAGGUGGUUUGUUAAGUCAGAUGUGAAAGCCCGGGGCUCAACCUCGGAAUUGCAUUUGAAACUGGCAGACUAGAGUACUGUAGAGGGGGGUAGGAAUUUCAGGUGUAGCGGUGAAAUGCGUAGAGAUCUGAAGGAAUACCGGUGGCGAAGGCGGCCCCCUGGACAGAUACUGACACUCAGAUGCGAAAGCGUGGGGAGCAAACAGGAUUAGAUACCCUGGUAGUCCACGCCGUAAACGAUGUCUACUUGGAGGUUGUGGCCUUGAGCCGUGGCUUUCGGAGCUAACGCGUUAAGUAGACCGCCUGGGGAGUACGGUCGCAAGAUUAAAACUCAAAUGAAUUGACGGGGGCCCGCACAAGCGGUGGAGCAUGUGGUUUAAUUCGAUGCAACGCGAAGAACCUUACCUACUCUUGACAUCCAGAGAACUUUCCAGAGAUGGAUUGGUGCCUUCGGGAACUCUGAGACAGGUGCUGCAUGGCUGUCGUCAGCUCGUGUUGUGAAAUGUUGGGUUAAGUCCCGCAACGAGCGCAACCCUUAUCCUUGUUUGCCAGCGAGUAAUGUCGGGAACUCCAGGGAGACUGCCGGUGAUAAACCGGAGGAAGGUGGGGACGACGUCAAGUCAUCAUGGCCCUUACGAGUAGGGCUACACACGUGCUACAAUGGCGCAUACAGAGGGCAGCCAACUUGCGAAAGUGAGCGAAUCCCAAAAAGUGCGUCGUAGUCCGGAUUGGAGUCUGCAACUCGACUCCAUGAAGUCGGAAUCGCUAGUAAUCGUGGAUCAGAAUGCCACGGUGAAUACGUUCCCGGGCCUUGUACACACCGCCCGUCACACCAUGGGAGUGGGCUGCAAAAGAAGUAGGUAGUUUAACCUUCGGGGGGACGCUUACCACUUUGUGGUUCAUGACUGGGGUGAAGUCGUAACAAGGUAGCGCUAGGGGAACCUGGCGCUGGAUCACCUCCUUAAACGAUGAU
This 1563-nucleotide ribosomal RNA is filed under the name Vibrio parahaemolyticus. RNAcentral's name for it is "bacterial SSU rRNA". It matches the Rfam family "Bacterial small subunit ribosomal RNA". Lineage: Bacteria; Pseudomonadati; Pseudomonadota; Gammaproteobacteria; Vibrionales; Vibrionaceae. The record is from RNAcentral.